GAGCAGUUGGUUUCGUUGUCUUGAUUUGGGGCAGUAAUGAUUUCUGAGAAGCAGGUGAUUGAUACGGGCAAAUUCAGAGCCCUAGGGGGCUGCACUGCAGCGCGGUGUGGAGAUGAGGAGAUAGACGGCUGGUCGGAUCCUGAAAUCCUAGUUUUUUUUCUCUCCCUCUCCCUUGCUUCCUCCUUUUCUUCCUUCAGCCUUUCUUCCAUUUCUUUCUUCCAUCAAAUAUUUGUGGAGCUGGAACUGGGCUUCACUAUCAUAUUCCAAGGCUCUGUACUGGGCACGGGGAGGUGCACUGAAUAGAACAGACGAAGAAACUCCUCCCAGAGACUGGAAGAAUGGCACAAGGUGUGAAAACCAAGGCUUAAAGCAUGCAAGUUAUUUGCCCAAGGAUUUUCAGCCACAAAUGAAGAAGCUGAGUCUGCUCCACACCUGUGAACCAGGCUAUUUCCACCAUGACCUGAACUCAGAUUAGCACCAGCCCAUGGAGAACAGUCCAGAAGGUUGCCCAUGGCCUUAAAGGUCAGUGUGAGCAUUAAUCACAGCCUGUUGCAUUUGAAGACCACUCCGGAACAAUGUCAUUUUAAAUCUAUGCUCGAGGCUGAACUUGGAUUGGAAAGAUGGGAGAGACAGCAGGCCUGGGUGUAUUCGGAUUAUUUCCUAAUAACUCACUGUCUCCUCUCUCCUCCCUUUCUUGAAAGUGAGUGGUUAGGGAUGAGCGGUUGUAGGCAGAGAUGGCAGUGUGAGAUAUUUCACCAAAGAGUGGGAGUUUAACCACCACCUGUCUAGGAGAUGGCCAACAUGUCCCAGAGAUGAUUGUAACAGGGAACUCUUCCGGGCAGAGCCCAGCGAAGGGAACCGGGAAAUUCGGGGGCAGGGCAAUCCCACUUUCUCUGUCAGGUGAGAUCACCUGCGCAGUGGUUUGAGUUCAGGCAUCUUACUUUCUUUUAAUUAGAUUCAUAGGAUUAAAAUUUAUCUGCUUAUCUAGUCCAAUAUUUUUAAAGCAAAAUCUGCAGAAUCUCCCUCUUUUUUUUUUCCCAAAAGAAAUAAACAUCCAUAAAUCUGAGAAAAAGCAGAGCUGGAAAAAAAGGUGGGGGCAUCUUGGAGGAUGAACUACCCGGAGCCCCUUCUGGCAGCUCUUGAGAAUUCUGGAAUUCCUCUGAAAACUACUGAUUUCGUCUCUUGUUUCCCAUUUGAGAAAACAAAAUAUAAUGCGAUCAAGGUU
Long non-coding RNA from Piliocolobus tephrosceles (Ugandan red Colobus), 1225 nucleotides. RefSeq lists it as uncharacterized. Lineage: Eukaryota; Metazoa; Chordata; Mammalia; Primates; Cercopithecidae. The transcript is spliced from 2 exons. The record is from RefSeq and is a predicted model, not a curated record.